This 598-nucleotide unclassified non-coding RNA is filed under the name Hevea brasiliensis (rubber tree). The record is from RNAcentral. Lineage: Eukaryota; Viridiplantae; Streptophyta; Magnoliopsida; Malpighiales; Euphorbiaceae.
AAAAAAAAAAAAAAAAAAUCUAAACUCCUGCAACAAUGUAAUUAUUGGACCGAUUUCAACCAAUUGGAAUACUAUUUUAUACAAGUCCAAUAGCACAAGUCAAAUUUAAACUAGACAGUAGACACUACCAGACACUUUCCAUGAAAAAGGAAAGGAGAUUAAUUUUGCGAAGCAAAACAAUUUUCAUUUACAAUAAGAUGCAAAACAAGCAAGUCAACAUUGUCUAUCUUUUUGUUUUUUUGUUGGUUGGGAACGAGGGCAGAAUUGCAAGUUAAACAUUGAUCAAGAACUACCAAAUGCAUUGUAAAACUACCAUGGUUCAUUGUAAAACUACCAAAUGCAUUGUAAAACUACCAUGGUUCAUUGUAAAACUACCAAAUGCAUUGUAAAACUACCAUGGUUCAUCUUAUCUAUCCACAUAAAAUAGUUAAAACAGAUUGUAAAACCAUUCCCCCUACAAUAAUAAUAAUUUGCAUGAAGUCAAGGAUAGCAUGGACCUGUAAAGGCUCAUUUUCAUCAGUGGAGCCAAGCAUCUCAUUCACCAAAAUUUGAUGCUCCUCAUGGCCACCAAAAAUUAGGCACUUCUCCACAACAUUAG